Phrynosoma platyrhinos (Desert horned lizard) is the source of this 71-nucleotide non-coding RNA. The record is from the annotation of a GenBank genome assembly. NCBI's taxonomy places the organism in Eukaryota, Metazoa, Chordata, Lepidosauria, Squamata, Phrynosomatidae.
GCCAACAUGGCAUAGUGGUUUAAGCGUCGGACUGCGACCCUGGAGACCAUGGUUUGAUUCCUGGCUUGGCC